UACGUAGGGUGCAAGCGUUGUCCGGAAUUAUUGGGCGUAAAGAGCUCGUAGGCGGUCUGUCGCGUCGGCUGUGAAAACCCGGAGCUCAACUCCGGGCCUGCAGCCGAUACGGGCAGACUAGAGUGUGGUAGGGGAGACUGGAAUUCCUGGUGUAGCGGUGGAAUGCGCAGAUAUCAGGAGGAACACCGAUGGCGAAGGCAGGUCUCUGGGCCACUACUGACGCUGAGAAGCGAAAGCAUGGGGAGCGAACAGG
This 253-nucleotide ribosomal RNA is filed under the name uncultured bacterium. Its description in RNAcentral is "partial 16S ribosomal RNA". It matches the Rfam family "Bacterial small subunit ribosomal RNA", at positions 524 to 776 of the family's 1533-position model. The record is from RNAcentral.